This 482-nucleotide ribosomal RNA is filed under the name uncultured bacterium. RNAcentral describes it as "partial 16S ribosomal RNA". It matches the Rfam family "Bacterial small subunit ribosomal RNA", at positions 28 to 507 of the family's 1533-position model. The record is from RNAcentral.
GACGAACGCUGGCGGCGUGCUUAACACAUGCAAGUCGAACGAUGAAGCAGAGAAACGCGCACUUCGGUUCAAAUUUCACUUCGGAUUAGUGGCAGACGGGUGAGUAACGCGUGAGCAACCUACCUCUUACAAAGGGAUAGCCUCGGGAAACCGUGAUUAAUACCAUAUGACACAUUCAUAAGGCAUCUUAAGAAUGUUAAAGCUACGGCGGUAAGAGAUGGGCUCGCGUCCCAUUAGCUAGUUGGUGAGGUAACGGCCCACCAAGGCGACGAUGGGUAAUCGGCCUGAGAGGGUGAACGGUCACAUUGGAACUGAGACACGGUCCAAACUCCUACGGGAGGCAGCAGUGGGGAAUAUUGCACAAUGGAGGGAACUCUGAUGCAGCGACGCCGCGUGAGCGAUGAAGGAAUUCGUUUCGUAAAGCUCUGUUCUAUGGGAAGAAAAGGACUGUACCAUAGGAGAAAGCCCCGGCUAAAUACGUG